Molecule: transfer RNA, 74 nt
Filed under: Candidatus Woesearchaeota archaeon CG07_land_8_20_14_0_80_44_23
Lineage: Archaea; Nanobdellati; Candidatus Woesearchaeota
Also listed under: 1 other name
Description: tRNA-Arg
Rfam family: tRNA
About the family: Transfer RNA (tRNA) molecules are approximately 80 nucleotides in length. Their secondary structure includes four short double-helical elements and three loops (D, anti-codon, and T loops).
Source: RNAcentral
GGGCCAGUAGCAUAACCUGGACAGUGCAUCCGGCUUCGGACCGGAGUAUCGGGGUUCAAAUCCUCGCUGGCUCG